RNAcentral lists this ribosomal RNA (410 nucleotides) under uncultured Glomeromycotina. RNAcentral's name for it is "SSU rRNA". It matches the Rfam family "Eukaryotic small subunit ribosomal RNA", at positions 684 to 1092 of the family's 1831-position model. The record is from RNAcentral. Lineage: Eukaryota; Fungi; Glomeromycota.
CAUCGUCGGUUCCUCCCUUCUGACGAACCAUGAUGUCAUUUAUUUGGUGUUGUGGGGAAUCAGGACUGUUACUUUGAAAAAAUUAGAGUGUUUAAAGCAGGCUCACGCUUGAAUACAUUAGCAUGGAAUAAUGAAAUAGGACGUUUGAUUCUAUUUUGUUGGUUUCUAGGAUCGACGUAAUGAUUAAUAGGGAUAGUUGGGGGCAUUAGUAUUCAAUUGUCAGAGGUGAAAUUCUUGGAUUUAUUGAAGACUAACUACUGCGAAAGCAUUUGCCAAGGAUGUUUUCAUUAAUCAAGAACGAAAGUUAGGGGAUCGAAGACGAUCAGAUACCGUCGUAGUCUUAACCAUAAACUAUGCCGACUAGGGAUCGGAUGAUGUUAAUUUUUUAAUGACUCAUUCGGCGCCUUACG